AUACGUAGGUGGCAAGCGUUGUCCGGAAUUAUUGGGCGUAAAGCGCGCGCAGGCGGCCUUUUAAGUCUGAUGUGAAAGCCCACGGCUCAACCGUGGAGGGUCAUUGGAAACUGGAAGGCUUGAGUGCAGAAGAGGAGAGCGGAAUUCCACGUGUAGCGGUGAAAUGCGUAGAGAUGUGGAGGAACACCAGUGGCGAAGGCGGCUCUCUGGUCUGUAACUGACGCUGAGGCGCGAAAGCGUGGGGAGCGAACAGGAUUAGAUACCCUGGUAGUCCACGCCGUAAACGAUGAGUGCUAAGUGUUGGAGGGUUUCCGCCCUUCAGUGCUGCAGCUAACGCAUUAAGCACUCCGCCUGGGGAGUACGGCCGCAAGGCUGAA
This 377-nucleotide ribosomal RNA is filed under the name uncultured bacterium. RNAcentral describes it as "bacterial SSU rRNA". It matches the Rfam family "Bacterial small subunit ribosomal RNA", at positions 523 to 898 of the family's 1533-position model. The record is from RNAcentral.